This 465-nucleotide ribosomal RNA is filed under the name uncultured bacterium. Its description in RNAcentral is "partial 16S ribosomal RNA". It matches the Rfam family "Bacterial small subunit ribosomal RNA", at positions 339 to 795 of the family's 1533-position model. The record is from RNAcentral.
CUACGGGUGGCUGCAGUGGGGAAUAUUGGACAAUGGGGGAAACCCUGAUCCAGCAAUGCCGCGUGUGUGAAGAAGGCCUGCGGGUUGUAAAGCACUUUCGGUUGGGAGGACUGCUUCUAGCACUAAUAUUGUUGGAAGUUGACGUUACCUUCAGAAGAAGCACCGGCUAACUCCGUGCCAGCAGCCGCGGUAAUACGGAGGGUGCGAGCGUUACUCGGAAUCACUGGGCGUAAAGGACGCGUAGGCGGCUAGAUCAGUCGGGUGUGAAAGCCCCGGGCUUAACCUGGGAACUGCAUCCGAUACUGUCUAGCUUGAGUACAGGAGAGGAGAGUGGAAUUCCACAUGUAGCGGUGAAAUGCGUAGAUAUGUGGAGGAACACCAAUGGCGAAGGCAGCUCUCUGGCCUGAUACUGACGCUGAGGCGCGAAAGCGUGGGGAGCAAACAGGAUUAGAUACCCCUGUAGUC